UGCCACAAGAGCUUGGUCCUUAUGUGUGGCAGUUCACCAUUUCAGCAGGAUGUAUAUACGGAAACUAAAGAGAAAGAAUGUUCAGAUAAAACAGUAAUUCAAAUAAUCCAUAGAAUCAAGAAUUUAUGUUGCCACCCCUGUAACAUGGGAAGAUCAUGGCAGUUUUCAAUUGUGGAUUUAUAAUAACAAUCUAGCAUCUAAUAUUCAGGAUGCUACAACAAACAAACUUAACAACUCAAUUUCAGAACAUUACUUGAUCUCAAAAACCAAACCACGCACAUCAACAAAGCUACCUGACGGUGAGAUAGCAUAGCCCAUAGCAAAGAUCAGGUAAAAACAGUAAUUCAGAUAGCUCAUAGCAAAGAUGCUACGGUUACCAGUCAAAAUGCCCAGUUAAACGGAACCUGUUAGAUAGCAUAGCAUAAGUACUGCAAGGGCACAGUAAACCUGGAUCAGGAUUUGAGGAUAUUAUAUAAAUGCGGUCUAUGGAUAUGGCCAGAUGAAAUAGUGGGUCUCAUCAUCAUCUUCUGCUUCUGGCAUCCCAUAAUCUUCUUGCAUCUCCAAGAACGGAAGUGGAAUGAUAUUCUCCUGGAAGCUAUAUGGUGUAAUGUGCACACGGCUUUCCUCACACUCACUGCAUUUCACGUGUCCCAGAAACUUACCAUCAAUGUCACAGCGCACAAUAUGCCCAGCAUCAAGCUCGAUGAGCAACUCGUGCUUGCCGAGCACAGCAAUCUUGCGUAAACAUCUCACCCUUAGAUCAGGUGGUAGGGACGCCUUCAGCCCAGAUAGGUCAAUCCGAUACUUGAAGGCCCAGACCUCAGCCUCAUAGUCCUGCAUCAUGUGGAUAUCUACAACAAUGCCAUCGGAACUGGUGCACAUAGCAACCACACUGUCAAUCUCCAACAACAAUGUCCAAAAGCUCAUUCCGGUGGGACGGCUCAUCCACCUAAACGUCUCAUCAGCAGUGUUGAACAGUAGAAUUUUGCUGGUGUCAGAGUGGUACCGUUCUUUUAGAUCCCAAUGCAGGCUGCCACGGUGGAGAAUAGAUACAUUAGACGAACAGGUCAGUCCAUCUAGUAGGUCUUGUUCCAUAGGUGGGUGUCCAUCCAGUAGGUCUUGUUCCAUAGGUGGUUGUCCUAUGGAACUAGGCUCAUCAGAUCCCACCGAGAGGACGUAGAAAUAAGUCGUGAAAGCGAAACCGUUCUCAUUCCUUGUGCAAAUUGAGUAGAGCACACGGUAUUCUCUGCAGAGGCAAUGCUGGUAGAAUCCUGCUAUGCGAAUGCUUGUAACUGAAGCACGACAUUUUGUGUUGGAAUUAACCACGAGUCCUAGUCCGGCUUGGACUUGGAACCAUCACCAUGUAGGUAUAGGAUUAGUAGUUGUCUUGGUUAGCUACUAUAUAUACGUACAAGUACCCCUGUAAUAUUGGAUCAGAUCAAAGCAAUACAAUCAAAGGCUCGAUACGAGCCUCUGGCAAUCAUCUCGGCGUCUUCAAUGUUUCGUGUGCGUGUUCCGUUGCUUGAACUGGUGCUGGUUCGAUCAGCCUUGAGGUUGUGCAAGCUAGUUCACAUCUGCUACGUGAGAAUCCAUCCAGCUGCAUGCCUGCCUGCUAGCUAGCUUUGUACGUGCACCUUGUCUCAGGAAGAAUCGAUCGAUCGUGGUAUUGUACGUACGAGUUCGGUCGACGGAAAGUACUCGUCAAGGAGCCGACGUACAACGCUUGAUCGGGCCUUUGCCAACAUUUUGGUCCAGGAAGCAGCAACAGGGGAGCAAGUUGGCGGGUCGUUGGAUUGCAGAUAUCGAAGCGUCUGCCACGAUCUUUGUAAGAGAUGACGAGGAGGCCAUCACAGGAAGCAUGGAUAGUGAGGCUGUCUACAUCCUGCUUGUGGUCAGCAUACCAGAGGAUGGGUCGGAGCUUGCAGCUGGUAGCCCCGGCAUGGUCACCGCAGAAGACGCAGAGAUGGCCGUCAUAGAAUCUGUUGUCACGGUUGAGGCAAUCGAUGAGAAGGAGCGAGGGCUGGCGACGGUGGUGAGCGAGAAGGAAGUCGCGGGCGGAGGUGGCAUGGCACCACAACUUGCACACAGCACGGCAGCGAAGGAUGUCCUCUGCUGGCAACCUGAUGAGUAUCUCCCCGGCAAUGAUCGACUCUGGCAAGUCAUCGAGGACGGUCACACAGCUACUGUCUAGCUUCGACAUGGUGAUUGAUUGCCGCUGCUCCAUCUGAUGAUCAACUACAAAGAUGCAAA
RNAcentral lists this long non-coding RNA (2250 nucleotides) under Hordeum vulgare. Its description in RNAcentral is "long non-coding RNA (HVUL_LNC002615)". The record is from RNAcentral. Lineage: Eukaryota; Viridiplantae; Streptophyta; Magnoliopsida; Poales; Poaceae.